UGGGGAAUAUUGCGCAAUGGGGGAAACCCUGACGCAGCGACGCCGUGUGAGGGAAGAAGGCCUUCGGGUCGUAAACCUCUGUCGGGAGGGAAGAACCGCCAGGUUCCGAACAGGAACCUGGCCUGACGGUACCUCUAGAGGAAGCGCCGGCUAACUCCGUGCCAGCAGCCGCGGUAAUACGGCGGGCGCAAGCGUUAAUCGGACUCCCUGGGCGUAAAGCGCACGUAGGCGGGGAGAUAAGUCGGGCGUGAAAGCCCUCGGCCCAACCGAGGAAUUGCGUUCGAUACUGUUUGGCUUGAGUCCUGGAGAGGGUGGCGGAAUUCCGGGUGUAGGAGUGAAAUCCGUAGAUAUCCGGAGGAACACCGGUGGCGAAGGCGGCCACCUGGACAGGUACUGACGCUGAGGUGCGAAAGCGUGGGGAGCAAACA
This 428-nucleotide ribosomal RNA is filed under the name uncultured prokaryote. Its description in RNAcentral is "bacterial SSU rRNA". It matches the Rfam family "Bacterial small subunit ribosomal RNA", at positions 355 to 774 of the family's 1533-position model. The record is from RNAcentral.